AAUAUUUCAUAAUGGAGGGAACUCUGAUGCAGCCACGCCGCGCGUGUGAAGAAGUUCUUCGGAUCGUAAAACUCUGUCCUUUGUGUAGAUAAUGACUGUAGCCAAGGAGGAAGCCCCGGCUAACUACGUGCCAGCAGCCGCGGUAAUACGUAGGGGGCGAGCGUUGUCCGGAAUUACUGGGCCUAAAGGGUGAGUUGGCGGUUGUAUAGGUCAGGUGUAAAAGACUAAGGCUUAACCAAAGAUAGCACGUGAAACAGUAUGACUUGAAUGCAAGAGGGGUUAGUGGAAUCAAUAGUGUUGCGGUGAAAUGCGUAGAUAUUAGGAGGAAAAACAGUGGGGAAGGGGACUUACUGGACUGUAACUGACGCUGAGUCACGAAAGCGUGGGUAGCAAAAAA
RNAcentral lists this ribosomal RNA (397 nucleotides) under uncultured bacterium. RNAcentral's name for it is "partial 16S ribosomal RNA". It matches the Rfam family "Bacterial small subunit ribosomal RNA", at positions 360 to 775 of the family's 1533-position model. The record is from RNAcentral.